Molecule: ribosomal RNA, 431 nt
Filed under: uncultured bacterium
Lineage: Bacteria
Description: bacterial SSU rRNA
Rfam family: Bacterial small subunit ribosomal RNA
Source: RNAcentral
ACGAACGCUGGCGGCAGGCUUAACACAUGCAAGUCGAACGCAUCCUUCGGGGUGAGUGGCAGACGGGUGAGUAACGCGUGGGAACGUGCCCUUCAGUUCGGGAUAACCCAGGGAAACUUGGGCUAAUACCGGAUACGUGCGAGAGCAGAAAGAUUUAUCGCUGAAGGAUCGGCCCGCGUCUGAUUAGCUAGUUGGUGAGGUAAUGGCUCACCAAGGCGACGAUCAGUAGCUGGUCUGAGAGGAUGAUCAGCCACACUGGGACUGAGACACGGCCCAGACUCCUACGGGAGGCAGCAGUGGGGAAUAUUGGACAAUGGGCGCAAGCCUGAUCCAGCCAUGCCGCGUGAGUGAUGAAGGCCUUAGGGUUGUAAAGCUCUUUCGGCGGGGACGAUAAUGACGGUACCCGCAGAAGAAGCCCCGGCUAACUUCGU